ACUCCUACGGGAGGCAGCAGUGGGGAAUAUUGCACAAUGGGGGAAACCCUGAUGCAGCCAUGCCGCGUGUGUGAAGAAGGCCUUGGGUUGUAAAGCACUUUCAGUAGGGAGGAAGGUAGUGUAGUUAACACCUGCACUAUUUGACGUUACCUACAGAAGAAGCACCGGCUAACUCCGUGCCAGCAGCCGCGGUAAGUACGGAGGGUGCGAGCGUUAAUCGGAAUUACUGGGCGUAAAGCGCAUGCAGGCGGCCUGUUAAGUCAGAUGUGAAAGCCCGGGGCUUAACCUCGGAAUUGCAUUUGAAACUGGCAGGCUAGAGUCUUGUAGAGGGGUUAGAAUUUCAGGUGUAGCGGUGAAAUGCGUAGAGAUCUGAAGGAAUACCGAGUGGCGAAGGCGGCCCCUGGACAAAGACUGACGCUCAGAUGCGAAAGCGUGGGAGCAAACAGGAUUAGAUACCCCUGGUAGCGACU
This 470-nucleotide ribosomal RNA is filed under the name uncultured bacterium. RNAcentral's name for it is "bacterial SSU rRNA". It matches the Rfam family "Bacterial small subunit ribosomal RNA", at positions 335 to 797 of the family's 1533-position model. The record is from RNAcentral.